GUGCUCACUUCGGCAGCACAUAUACUAAAAUUGGAACGACACAGAGAAGAUUAGCGUGGCCCCUGCGCAAGGAUGACACGCAAAUUUGUGAAGCAUUCCAUAUUUUU
This 107-nucleotide small nuclear RNA is filed under the name Moschus moschiferus (Siberian musk deer). The record is from RNAcentral. Lineage: Eukaryota; Metazoa; Chordata; Mammalia; Artiodactyla; Moschidae.